RNAcentral lists this ribosomal RNA (436 nucleotides) under uncultured bacterium. RNAcentral describes it as "bacterial SSU rRNA". It matches the Rfam family "Bacterial small subunit ribosomal RNA", at positions 355 to 796 of the family's 1533-position model. The record is from RNAcentral.
UGGGGAAUUUUGCGCAAUGGGGGAAACCCUGACGCAGCAACGCCGCGUGGAUGAUGAAGACCCUUGGGUCGUAAAAUCCUUUCGGCAGGGACGAAACUGGGCAACCAGUUGACGGUACCUGAAGAAGAAGCCCCGGCUAACUCCGUGCCAGCAGCCGCGGUAAUACGGGGGGGGCGAGCGUUGUUCGGAAUUAUUGGGCGUAAAGGGCGCGUAGGCGGUGCGGUAAGUUUGAUGUGAAACCUCCAGGCUUAACUUGGAGCUGGCAUUAAAGACUGCCGUGCUAGAGUGCGGGAGAGGAGAGUGGAAUUCCCGGUGUAGCGGUGAAAUGCGUAGAUAUCGGGAGGAACAUCGGUGGCGAAGGCGGCUCUCUGGACCGCAACUGACGCUGAGGCGCGAAAGCUAGGGGAGCAAACAGGAUUAGAUACCCCCGUAGUCC